GUUGGCGUAGGCUCUGCAAUGGGAUGGGAUCCGAAGCCCUCCGAGGGAUAAUACAGGCUCUCCCAUCCAACUCCUAUUCCGACACGUCCGCGUCGUGCAGAGUGGUAACAUGUGCCUCCAUAUAUCCUAGCUUGGGUACACGGGCUAGAUCCAACCCCUUGGGCGGAUGGUGGCACAUGGCGAACCAGGAGGGG
Molecule: non-coding RNA, 194 nt
Organism: Anopheles gambiae str. PEST
Lineage: Eukaryota; Metazoa; Arthropoda; Insecta; Diptera; Culicidae
Rfam family: drz-agam-2-2 ribozyme
Source: Rfam